UAGCAUCAGGAUCCGCAGCGGAUCCGCUUUCGGUCCGCCAAAUCCGCCCCACAGUCCGUCCGCUUUGCGGAUCCGCUGCGUAUUUGUUCCGUAUUCGCAUUCUGACUGUUGCUAACCCUAACCCUUGGAUGGCCUGCUGUUACAGAGAGAAUCUGCGGUUAAAUCAUCUUAGAUCCGCACUGUGAACGUACUUUUAACACAACACUUUGUUUUUGACACAAUGAUUUGUACUAUCAAUGCGCGGAUCCGCGGCUAACCCGGUUCGGAUUCGCUGCGCGGACGCGCCACUGACUCAGCCGUUAUCAGAACAUGAGAGAAAGAAACAACAUCCACCUGUUGUCCGUGGAUUUCACUAUGACAUCAGGAGCCCCUGUCCUUCUGCUGAGUGUCCCUAUCAGGAGCCCGGCACGCUGAUCAGAAAAUAUACUAUGGUUAAUAAGAAGAUGGACAUAACAGCAUGACAAAGACCCUCUGGAGAAUUCCCUCUGCUGGGCCAAGUUCCAAAAAUGUAGAGACAGACCCUCUAACAUGCUGUGGUGGAGUUUAAAGACUGACCCUCUAUGCUGUGAGAAAGGGGAAGUCCAGAGCUGGACACUGACAGACUGGAUCUUCACCAGUAGGACUGAAGAGGAGCCAGCCUCACUACACCUCUGCCUCAAAACCUCUGCCUCAGACUGAAGCUAAAGACAGAGGCUCUGAAGCUCCCACACUGCACACUCUAUAAGAACAACCACCCGUGUACUGUGGUGGUAAA
Molecule: long non-coding RNA, 754 nt
Organism: Boleophthalmus pectinirostris (great blue-spotted mudskipper)
Lineage: Eukaryota; Metazoa; Chordata; Actinopteri; Gobiiformes; Gobiidae
Exons: 6
Source: RefSeq, a predicted model, not a curated record